GAAAACCGCUCUACAUCCCAUCUGGCUUCCAUCAUUAUUCAACAUAUGGCUUUAGGUAAAUUACUUAAAAAUACACAAAGCCUCCAUUUUCUUGGCUGUACAGUGGAGUUGAUAACACCUCACGGAGUUGUGUGAGGACUAAAUGAAAUUAAGUGUGAAAAGACCUUCUUAAACUGUCAAGUGCUGUACAAAGGCUGACAGCGCCUUUGGUUAUAGUCUCAGCGGGUCUUCAGAAUUGCACAUCUUUUCCCUGUUUACUUUGUUAAUCAAAAUUUGUUGGUUUCAUGUCUGAGAUAUAAAAUCCUAAAAUUUAAAUAUAGCACUGCUGAUUCAUUGGAAAGCAUUGUUGGUGGCCACUAACCCUGACAUCUGCCUAACUAAAGUUUCCCAGUUUGAAGAUAGAACUUGCUUUCCUUGAUGCAGGUAAAUCAAAGCCAGCCAAGAGCAUCAAUUUCUUUCAUUUCUAAACAGAUAAAUUAUAACACCACUUGGCUGUUACUGCAUUUUUCAUUGACGAAACUCACUAGUUUGUGGUUUGUUUUUUUUUUUUGAGCUAUUUUGUCUGGUUCCUUCUCCUUGUUAGAGAACAUGCAAUGAUUUGAGGAUACAUCGUAAACAUUUUGCAUCCCUUAGCGGAAGUAAUAGCUAUUUUAAUACUAUUAUUGGGUUUUUUAAAUAAGAAACUGAGGACUGGAUGAGGCUGUGAGAACCCGGAACUGUCAACUUCACUCCUCUUCACUCUCUUGCCUUUCCUAAAUCUCGGGUCUUUUACUCCCUGGGUUGACAUACCUGAAAAAAUGUUUGCAAAUGUUUUAUAAAGACCUUAGGUUUUAGAAUUCUGCUUUUCAAAAAUAGCAAAUAAGUUUCUUAAAGGGAACUGUCCAAUAUGAGCCAUCAAUUAAAUUAAUCAGUUCUUUGUUGGAGUCAGAGCAGCAUUUCAGUAACCCUGCCUUCUGUAGCACUGUCAGCCCUUUUGACAACUUCUCUUUGACAGGUCAAAAACUAAACUGUUUUAGGUUGGAACAAAGGGAGCCCACUUUUUUUCUAAAUCCAAUUCCAAAAUAAUAACAUGAUGGUUCUUGUAGAGACUGUUUCAGAAUGUUGACGUGUACCCCCAAGUAAAACAAUUCUGUUUGAAUCUUAUUUCUGGGAACAGCUCUCAAAUAAGGUGCAUAUCAACCAACCCAGCUGAGUUUUCUCCUUUUAAAUGUAUCAGGAGAUGAGAUAGUAGAAAAAGGGCUGGAGAGAUACAAGAAGAUCUGGGUGCUAGUUCUGCACUAGGCAAGUAGAUGGUCUUAUUCUCUGUUGUUUAGGCUUUGAAGCUUAAUUUAUCUAGUUGCUAAACUUUCUUAACGUUAUGUACACAGAAAUGGGAUUCACGUGUUCCAAUGUUCCCAAUUGGAAGAGUCCUGCCUGUCAAUUUCAGGAGAAAGGAAACCGUAGGUGGUAAGGAAGCAGAGCAUCCUGGAAAGGGGAGAUUUCCCUUUCUCAAGCAAGAAGAUCUGAGAUAUUACGUCAGACGAAAGCUUGCAGUCAAGGAUAGAUGGGUUGCAUCAUUUUAUUUUAUUUUGCAAUUAUCUGUGGGGAGGUCCUGCAAGUACACAAUAUUCACGUAGUUAUGUGGGUAUGGGGAAUGUAUUUGAUAAACAAUCUACCGCUAAGGAGAAACUGGCUGUAUUGUCUGUUGGGUAUUUGAUAAAUAUUGAUAAUGAAAACGAAACAUUUUAAAGUACCUAUUAAGUGCUUAAUGGGUUGAUUUUGGGACAUGUACUUUUAAAGUGUAAAAAUAACUGUAAAUGAAAUUAGUGAAAUUCUUUGGUUAAUUAUAUACUUGUCCUACAUACAGAAUUUCCCUCAUCAUGAAAGAAGUCUUAUGCCUGAUCGAGGGAAAGGUGCGGCUUUUAACGAGAAAAAAAUCAAGUAGUCUUAACAACAUGUAGUCCCUUCCCAAACUAAUUACAGUUCCUAGAAUGGACAACUAUUGUUGAUGAAGAAACACGACUUUAAUCUGUUAUUACACAAGAUAAGCAAUCCAAUCAGGUUAAAGUUUUAUGUUUGUCAGACUCUAAAACCUGUAUUUCCGUAGUGUAGUUGGAUGCUUGGAGCUUUAAAUUAUACCUUCAGAGUUUGACUCUUCCACUAAAGCAUAACUAGAAGCUAUCGUGGGAGAAAUUGAGCCUAAUUCUUCGCCCCAAACAUCAAAGAUUAGACUCCUUUAAACCCAUGUAAUCUGGGAUCUUAUGGAUUUUCAUACUGGAGGCAACAGCUCUAUUUAGAGUAAGCCCCAGUCAGGGCCAUUUGGGAUGCUGGUCCUGGAGGUGCAGAAGCAGCCACUGUAUCCCUUGUCCUCUCUCUCCCUGUGGUCCUCUUAGUACCACUCAGUGUCAUUGGCAACACUGGAAUCGUGAGUAACCCAGGACGACAAAUAUUAGAGAAUGAUUCUUAAUUGCAAUUGAAUCUCAGCCAUAUUGGGCAAAAAUUUAAGGACUAGUCAUAAGAAGAGCUAUUUCCUUUAAGUCCCCAAGACAGCCUAAAUGAGUUGAAGAGCACAAAAUGUGUGAUUCCAUGGCACACAUAGGCAUUUUAAGAAUAUUGUUCUAAUUCAAUUUUUAGGUUCACUAAAGUAUCAUGAAUUAAAAUAUGUAUGUGACCUGUAGUAUGUCGGUAUCAAAAAUAUAUAUUAUGGCUAAAAAUUGUGUCACUAUUUUUCUUUUUUAUUAUAUAUAUUCAUAUCAUAUCUUUUUACAUCGAUCUGUAUUCUAAAUAAAAACAAAAUAUUAUAGAGUGAAUUCAAGAUUUUUGUGUUCCAGGGUCAAAUUAGCAAAUUCAGAAAAGGAAAUCUGAGAAUAAAUCUGAUAGUAAUAUCAGAAUAAUUGACAAUUAUAAUUAAUACAAAAUAAUUAGCAUUUCUACACACUAAAGUAGUUGUCUUUAUAUCACAGGAUUUCUGACAGUAUAUUCUAUGAGGCUUUAGGUCCUUAUUGUAACAAAUCUAUUAAGAAUUAAUUUUGUAUAUUUAGUAUUCCAUUUUUGGAACUGUUUUUUAAGAUGUUCUAUAUCCCCUGUCUUAUUAUGCUAUAUGGAAGAAUUUCAGUGUGUUUUCUGGGGACAAUUAUAUAGUUCUAGUUUUGAUGGAUGUUGAAAUGUUUUGCAAUUGUAUCUAAUAUUUGGUCCUUUACAGAAGAAAUGGUUUGUGGUAUUAUAUUGAAAUAGCUAGUGUAUUCAUUCCUCAGUUUUGCUGUGUAUUGGCUUGAUUCCAUAAAUAAAAAUAAAUCUCAAAUUUGUUUGAAGUAAUUCUCUUACAAUCUAGUUUAAUAAUGAAAUAUAGUUCAAGUUAAUUAUGCUGAUUUUGAAAAAACAAAUAAAGACCUGCUUUACAGCUGGUCCUUAUUGAUUUGUUUUUUAUCUGAGCACAAGAAUAUUCAUGUUCAUACUCUCUGACUAUAGCAAGAACACGUGAAACUUCAGAACUGCCUUUUCAAUAAAUUAUAAUCAUGAAAG
Long non-coding RNA from Equus caballus (horse), 3501 nucleotides. The record is from Ensembl. Lineage: Eukaryota; Metazoa; Chordata; Mammalia; Perissodactyla; Equidae.